Molecule: ribosomal RNA, 253 nt
Filed under: uncultured bacterium
Lineage: Bacteria
Description: partial 16S ribosomal RNA
Rfam family: Bacterial small subunit ribosomal RNA
Source: RNAcentral
UACGUAGGCAGCGAGCGUUGUUCGGAGUUACUGGGCGUAAAGGGUGUGUAGGCGGUUUUCUAAGUUUGGUGUGAAAUCUCCCGGCUCAACCGGGAGGGUGCGCCGAAAACUGGGAGACUAGAGUGCGGGAUGGGAGAGUAGAAUUCCUGGUGUAGCGGUGAAAUGCGUAGAUAUCAGGAGGAAUACCGGUGGUGUAGACGGCUCUCUGGACCGCCACUGACGCUGAGACACGAAAGCGUGGGUAGCGAACAGG